RNAcentral lists this ribosomal RNA (514 nucleotides) under uncultured bacterium. Its description in RNAcentral is "bacterial SSU rRNA". It matches the Rfam family "Bacterial small subunit ribosomal RNA", at positions 59 to 560 of the family's 1533-position model. The record is from RNAcentral.
CAGUCGAGGGGCAGCAUGGUCUUAGCUUGCUAAGGCUGAUGGCGACCGGCGCACGGGUGAGUAACACGUAUCCAACCUGCCGUCUACUCUUGGCCAGCCUUCUGAAAGGAAGAUUAAUCCAGGAUGGGAUCAUGAGUUCACAUGUCCGCAUGAUUAAAGGUAUUUUCCGGUAGACGAUGGGGAUGCGUUCCAUUAGAUAGUAGGCGGGGUAACGGCCCACCUAGUCAACGAUGGAUAGGGGUUCUGAGAGGAAGGUCCCCCACAUUGGAACUGAGACACGGUCCAAACUCCUACGGGAGGCAGCAGUGAGGAAUAUUGGUCAAUGGGCGGUGGCCUGAACCAGCCAAGUAGCGUGAAGGAUGACUGCCCUAUGGGUUGUAAACUUCUUUUAUAAAGGAAUAAAGUCGGGUAUGCAUACCCGUUUGCAUGUACUUUAUGAAUAAGGAUCGGCUAACUCCGUGCCAACAGCCGCGGUAAUACGGAGGAUCCGAGCGUUAUCCGGAUUUAUUGGGUU